Molecule: ribosomal RNA, 254 nt
Filed under: uncultured Stenotrophomonas sp.
Lineage: Bacteria; Pseudomonadati; Pseudomonadota; Gammaproteobacteria; Lysobacterales; Lysobacteraceae
Description: partial 16S ribosomal RNA
Rfam family: Bacterial small subunit ribosomal RNA
Source: RNAcentral
CGGACGGGUGAGGAAUACAUCGGAAUCUACUCUGUCGUGGGGGAUAACGUAGGGAAACUUACGCUAAUACCGCAUACGACCUACGGGUGAAAGCAGGGGAUCUUCGGACCUUGCGCGAUUGAAUGAGCCGAUGUCGGAUUAGCUAGUUGGCGGGGUAAAGGCCCACCAAGGCGACGAUCCGUAGCUGGUCUGAGAGGAUGAUCAGCCACACUGGAACUGAGACACGGUCCAGACUCCUACGGGAGGCAGCAGGA